Molecule: ribosomal RNA, 497 nt
Filed under: uncultured bacterium
Lineage: Bacteria
Description: partial 16S ribosomal RNA
Rfam family: Bacterial small subunit ribosomal RNA
Source: RNAcentral
GAUGAACGCUGGCGGCGUGCCUAAUACAUGCAAGUCGAGCGAACGGACGAGAAGCUUGCUUCUCUGAUGUUAGCGGCGGACGGGUGAGUAACGCGUGGAUAACCUACCUAUAAGACUGGGAUAACUUCGGGAAACCGGAGCUAAUACCGGAUGAUAUUUUGAACCGCAUGGUUCAAAAGUGAAAGACGGUCUUGCUGUCACUUAUAGAUGGAUCCGCGCUGCAUUAGCUAGUUGGUAAGGUAACGGCUUACCAAGGCAACGAUGCAUAGACGACCUGAGAGGGUGAUCGGCCACACUGGAACUGAGACACGGUCCAGACUCCUACGGGAGGCAGCAGUAGGGAAUCUUCCGCAAUGGGCGAAAGCCUGACGGAGCAACGCCGCGUGAGUGAUGAAGGUCUUCGGAUCGUAAAACUCUGUUAUUAGGGAAGAACAUAUGUGUAAGUAACUGUGCACAUCUUGACGGUACCUAAUCAGAAAGCCACGGCUAACUACGUG